UGAACUUCAGGGGCCAUGAAAUCAAGAUCAGGUUGACUCAUUUUCGGUGAUUUUGAGGUGAAUGCUGGACAAGAAACUGGCAGCUAAACAUAAAGGAAAAGAAAUCGAUAAAAGGUAAAUUUGACAAGUUUUGGUUCUCUUUUAAAUAGAGAAAAUGGAAAAGUUCUAACAGACAAGUUCGAAACUUUCAAUUUCCUUUGAAUACUUUUCGAGUUCACAAAAUACAAGUCAAACUCAACUUACCAUGUUAUCGCCAUCAUUACAUUUAACUGUAAACUCGAAGCCAGAUAAUUUCCAAGUUCCCCGUUUAUUAAUUAUCACAGAUUGUGGACAGAUAUUUCGAUGGAUAAUUUUGCAUGAAUAAUGU
Panonychus citri (citrus red mite) is the source of this 367-nucleotide long non-coding RNA. RefSeq lists it as uncharacterized. The record is from RefSeq and is a predicted model, not a curated record. The transcript has 3 exons. NCBI's taxonomy places the organism in Eukaryota, Metazoa, Arthropoda, Arachnida, Trombidiformes, Tetranychidae.